AAAAUGAAGCUGUUACAUGCAUGCUUUCUUCUGCUUGGAUGUACUUGCCAGCAUCUGCUGCUGUGAGAAGCUGAAGUCGCUGAUGGUGAGGCUAAAUUAAACCUCUCCAAUGAGUGUGUUGAGGGGGCAUAAAGCAACAUCUGCAAGGUGGCUUUGGGGUAUGCUCCCCCUAAACCCCACCUGUGAGGACCAGUGGCUGCCUGCUGCUCUACACUUCUGAAUAUUAAGCAGCUUCCUAAAAGCAAUGAGGCUGUUAUGGCUGAACAGCUUCACCAUGUGCAGGCUGCACAGAUAUCCAGCAAAGAAAUCAAAGGAAUGAUGUCACCAGUAUGUCUUAUCUAAAAUUAAAUAUCUGUUUUAAGUCCACAGAUACAUAGAGACUUUGUAUUAGAAACAUAUACUGAGAGUUCAAACUCUGAGUCAUCUCAUAUAUAUUUCACUCAAGCCAAGGGAAUAGCAGUGAGAAUAGACCUGCAAAAGAGCAAUUCUCUAUUCUAGCAAGAUGAGGGAGAAAAAAUGUUCAGGGAAAAUACUAACCGGUUCACAAGCGAAAAAAUCUUGCCAAUGAAAUUGUGUCUCUAAUACGCUGUGCCUUUGCAGUAAAGUCAUGAUUUGCUGUGGAAAAUGCAGCAGAGAAUAAGUGGGCCAGCUUGUGCUCAUUAAUGGCAGAGACAGAGUAAGUGGCAUUUAAAACAAGUCCACUCCGAGGGAAAGUGAGAAUUGUUUAUUCUGAAGGCAUCAAAUGUUUGUUGUCACAAUUAGAUUUCAAGAGCAACUCGCAAUGCUUUGGGGUGCCGUUGUCCAGGCAGGGUUUAGCCAAGCUCUGGAUGUCCUGGAGCCGAGGGCUGCAUUUCUGCUGCUACUCUCCACUGUGUUACAAGGAUGUGCUGAUGGCCACUGCUGUGCCCUUUCUAGCACAUGCCACAAGUGUUCCAGCCCAGUCAUCAGGAGCUAAAGUGGGAGAUGUGAUGCUGGAAAUUAUUUGGCCCCACCUAAGGGGUAAAUUGUGCCAGGCUCUGUGUCAGCAGCUGUACUUGGGUGCAGUGAACAUCUGUGGUCAGGAGCACUUGUAAUAUCCCUCUACCUUUUGUCUCCUUAUUAUUGCUGUAAUGGGCCCUAUGUAGUCCCCAGUCCCGUGGUGGUUCAUCUUCCCUCAUUUGUCUCAGGCUGUUCUGCUGAUUUUCUUCCCAGCUGGGUAGGCUCAUGUGUUGGGGCUACACCUUAUCUCCUAAAUAGUUUUCUCCAAGGUAGAUAAAGAUGUUCCCUACUCUACAAAAAGGGCUUGUCUUCUCCUGUGAGCAAUUCCAGUCAUGAAGGAGUGGUGCACUGGGUUCUCCUGGAUUCUGGUGGUGCUGCCCAUACAGGAAGGCAUGGGGCAGGAGGAAGCACGGAGGCAUUUCUGGAGUCACAGUGGAAAAAAUGUUGCACUAGGCUGUUCUCCAGCUUUUACUGGAUUAUAGCCCAGACCUAAGACCCAACAGAUGCACUGUCAGGUAUGAAGUAUUGGCCCAAAAUUAGUGCUGGCUCUGUCAUGGGAACCAAUUCCCCUCUCUAAUGCACAGUUGUUGCAUUGCAUAAAAAUCAUUAUUACACAUUGUGAAAUCUAAUUACAUUAUUGCACACUGUGUAUACACUCUAAUAAAGGCAGUGGAAGCAAUAACACUGCUAGUAAUACACCAUUCCACUGAAAUUGCUAUUGCUGUCAAUUUUACAUUCAUUUUUUCUUGAUUUAACCUGAAGAGCAAGGCUCUCAGCCUGCUUGCUUUGGCAGGUAGAUGCUAAGUGUCAAGACUUUACAAGGGCUGCAGAACCCCACAGCUCCUAUUGCAGUAGGGAGCAUGUGAGGGAACUGCCGUGUCCUAACUCUGAUACCCAGUGGUGAGAGCAGUCCUUCCUGAGGGUUACAAUGCUGUCUUGAGAUGGGUCCAAAGCCAGCUGGGCUCAAUUUCCCUUGAAAGUGCCCCUUUUCCCCAUUGAUUGUAUAGCCUCGGGCACCUGUGCUCUUAGAUGUCUAAAACCAGAUGGAGUCCAAUGCCUCCACCUCUCUGUUCUGGUGUGUAUGAGGAAGAGGAGGAUAGAUGGUCCUUUAUCAUAAUUCAGAGAUAGAUAUUUGCCAGUAAUGAGCUGAGAGGGAUUAGGGCUCAAAAAGGUUUUCAGUUCUCUGCUCCCCCACCAUUAACUUCUCAUUGUAAAGCUUGUG
Molecule: long non-coding RNA, 2200 nt
Organism: Taeniopygia guttata (zebra finch)
Lineage: Eukaryota; Metazoa; Chordata; Aves; Passeriformes; Estrildidae
Source: Ensembl